This is a long non-coding RNA of Anguilla anguilla (European eel), 632 nucleotides long. RefSeq lists it as uncharacterized. NCBI's taxonomy places the organism in Eukaryota, Metazoa, Chordata, Actinopteri, Anguilliformes, Anguillidae. The record is from RefSeq and is a predicted model, not a curated record. The transcript is spliced from 2 exons.
GCGACUGCUUUGGGAUUCUACCACCAGCCGAUUUCACCCGUCUAACCUCACACAACAAAGCUGUUUAAGAUGGCACUAUCCAGGGGAAAGAGGAUAGUGGAACUGGUGUUGAAAAUAAAAUACCCAGCCAACAGGAAGAAAGCAGAGUGGAGGGGAACUGGGGGGGGCAGCCUCCCCCAGACUACACCUCUGCAGAGGAGCUGGCCCUCUCCAACAACGAAGCUCAGCCCUUAAUGGAGGGGAUCCAAGAGGGGGUGUGCUCCGACCCUGGUGCUGGCAGCUCCAAACAGGGUGUGACUGAGGUGAUGCUCACCACCUUGGAUACUGGACCGGUACAUGCUAAAGUUAUUCCUCCCUCAUUUACAGUUCAAGGGAAUACUGUGGUGUUUUAAAGCCUAGCUCAAAUACCAUGACAUCUGCAGAAAGAGAUACCUGUUCAAGGUUCAUGGUUAUGUACUCGCAACACACUAUUGUUUUCUGGCCAUAUAAUGAAUUUACUUAAUGCAGAACACUCAAAUCUGUUCUCAAGUGGAGGUUAAUAACAAGUGAUGCAGUGUGCCAGGGAACACCACAAACGCAUGAAGUAGUUCUCUAAGGCCAAAUGGCACGGCAGUCUAUUUGUUUGCUGAUUU